Pistacia vera is the source of this 452-nucleotide long non-coding RNA. RefSeq lists it as uncharacterized. The transcript is spliced from 4 exons. Lineage: Eukaryota; Viridiplantae; Streptophyta; Magnoliopsida; Sapindales; Anacardiaceae. The record is from RefSeq and is a predicted model, not a curated record.
UAGAGUGAAGAAGAACUUGAGUGGAUUGAUAGCUCAUCAUCAUCUCCUCUAGUUUUGACCAACAUCUCUCUAAGUCUUAACUUCAACUUUGAAUCUGCAAAGGGACAACCUUUGAAUUCUCAAAAUGCUACAAUGGUGAUCAAUCCACAAGGGAAGAUAUUAGUUUCUCAGCAGAGCUACCGUUCUCUGGCAUACAGAAGAGAGAAUUUCAAGAGAUUAUGGUGAUUUGAGGUAUGAAGUGUGUCGUUCAUUUUCAAAGUUCAUCCAACUCUCUUUCUUCAAAAAACUGGCUGCUCAUGGAAGACAUUCCAGGAAUCUGGUGUCACUUAAGCAAAUUAAUCAUCCUUUGUGGACAAUGCUGAAAAUGGAAUGAGGUGUGGAGAUAAACUUGGAUGAAUCUUAUUUGGGAUAUGUGGUGUGGCUGCCAAAGCCACCAAACCUUGUUGCGUAUA